This 442-nucleotide ribosomal RNA is filed under the name uncultured bacterium. RNAcentral's name for it is "partial 16S ribosomal RNA". It matches the Rfam family "Bacterial small subunit ribosomal RNA", at positions 338 to 795 of the family's 1533-position model. The record is from RNAcentral.
CCUACGGGUGGCAGCAGUGGGGAAUUUUGGGCAAUGGACGCAAGCCUGACCCAGCCACGCCGCGUGAAGGAAGACUGCUUUCGGGUUUUAAACUUCUUUUGUCAGGGAAGAGUAGAAGACGGUACCUGACGAAUAAGCCACGGCUAACUACGUGCCAGCAGCCGCGGUAAUACGUAGGUCGCAAGCGUUGUCCGGAUUUACUGGGUGUAAAGGGCGUGUAGCCGGUUUGACAAGUCAGAUGUGAAAGCCUGCGGCUUAACCGAAGAACUGCAGUUGAAACUGGUGAUCUUGAGUACUGGAGAGGCAGACGGAAUUCCUAGUGUAGCGGUGAAAUGCGUAGAUAUUAGGAGGAACACCAGUGGCGAAGGCGGUCUGCUGGACAGCAACUGACGGUGAGGCGCGAAAGCGUGGGGAGCAAACAGGAUUAGAUACCCCGGUAGUC